This 867-nucleotide ribosomal RNA is filed under the name Bacillus siamensis. RNAcentral's name for it is "bacterial SSU rRNA". It matches the Rfam family "Bacterial small subunit ribosomal RNA", at positions 70 to 920 of the family's 1533-position model. The record is from RNAcentral. Lineage: Bacteria; Bacillati; Bacillota; Bacilli; Caryophanales; Bacillaceae.
AGAUGGGAGCUUGCUCCCUGAUGUUAGCGGCGGACGGGUGAGUAACACGUGGGUAACCUGCCUGUAAGACUGGGAUAACUCCGGGAAACCGGGGCUAAUACCGGAUGGUUGUUUGAACCGCAUGGUUCAGACAUAAAAGGUGGCUUCGGCUACCACUUACAGAUGGACCCGCGGCGCAUUAGCUAGUUGGUGAGGUAACGGCUCACCAAGGCGACGAUGCGUAGCCGACCUGAGAGGGUGAUCGGCCACACUGGGACUGAGACACGGCCCAGACUCCUACGGGAGGCAGCAGUAGGGAAUCUUCCGCAAUGGACGAAAGUCUGACGGAGCAACGCCGCGUGAGUGAUGAAGGUUUUCGGAUCGUAAAGCUCUGUUGUUAGGGAAGAACAAGUGCCGUUCAAAUAGGGCGGCACCUUGACGGUACCUAACCAGAAAGCCACGGCUAACUACGUGCCAGCAGCCGCGGUAAUACGUAGGUGGCAAGCGUUGUCCGGAAUUAUUGGGCGUAAAGGGCUCGCAGGCGGUUUCUUAAGUCUGAUGUGAAAGCCCCCGGCUCAACCGGGGAGGGUCAUUGGAAACUGGGGAACUUGAGUGCAGAAGAGGAGAGUGGAAUUCCACGUGUAGCGGUGAAAUGCGUAGAGAUGUGGAGGAACACCAGUGGCGAAGGCGACUCUCUGGUCUGUAACUGACGCUGAGGAGCGAAAGCGUGGGGAGCGAACAGGAUUAGAUACCCUGGUAGUCCACGCCGUAAACGAUGAGUGCUAAGUGUUAGGGGGUUUCCGCCCCUUAGUGCUGCAGCUAACGCAUUAAGCACUCCGCCUGGGGAGUACGGUCGCAAGACUGAAACUCAAAGGAAUUGACGGGGGC